This 253-nucleotide ribosomal RNA is filed under the name uncultured bacterium. RNAcentral's name for it is "partial 16S ribosomal RNA". It matches the Rfam family "Bacterial small subunit ribosomal RNA", at positions 524 to 776 of the family's 1533-position model. The record is from RNAcentral.
UACGAAGGGGGCUAGCGUUGCUCGGAAUCACUGGGCGUAAAGGGUGCGUAGGCGGGUCUUUAAGUCAGGGGUGAAAUCCUGGAGCUCAACUCCAGAACUGCCUUUGAUACUGAAGAUCUUGAGUUCGGGAGAGGUGAGUGGAACUGCGAGUGUAGAGGUGAAAUUCGUAGAUAUUCGCAAGAACACCAGUGGCGAAGGCGGCUCACUGACCCGAUACUGACGCUGAGGCACGAAAGCCAGGGGAGCAAACGGG